This is a non-coding RNA of Myotis davidii, 75 nucleotides long. NCBI's taxonomy places the organism in Eukaryota, Metazoa, Chordata, Mammalia, Chiroptera, Vespertilionidae. The record is from Rfam.
GGUGGUUCUUGGGUGACACACCCCGGAAUCAGGCUCGCUCCUCUCUGCUUCUGGGUGCAUCACCUGAGAACCCCA